AAAGGGAAACAGCCCAGACCACCAGCUAAGGUCCCAAAAUAUAUGUUAAGUGGAAAAGGAUGUGGCGUUGCCCAGACAACUAGUAUGUUGGCUUAGAAGCAGCCAUCAUUUAAAGAGUGCGUAAUAGCUCACUAGUCGAGUGACACUGCGCCGAAAAUGUACCGGGGCUAAACAUAUUACCGAAGCUGUGGAUUGUCCGUAGGACAAUGGUAGGAGAGCGUUCUAAGGGCGUUGAAGCAUGAUCGUAAGGACAUGUGGAGCGCUUAGAAGUGAGAAUGCCGGUGUGAGUAGCGAAAGACGGGUGAGAAUCCCGUCCACCGAUUGACUAAG
This 330-nucleotide ribosomal RNA is filed under the name bacterium M00.F.Ca.ET.163.01.1.1. RNAcentral describes it as "partial 23S ribosomal RNA". It matches the Rfam family "Bacterial large subunit ribosomal RNA", at positions 1013 to 1349 of the family's 2925-position model. The record is from RNAcentral.